Molecule: ribosomal RNA, 398 nt
Filed under: uncultured bacterium
Lineage: Bacteria
Description: partial 16S ribosomal RNA
Rfam family: Bacterial small subunit ribosomal RNA
Source: RNAcentral
AUACGUAGGGUGCGAGCGUUGUCCGGAAUUACUGGGCGUAAAAAGCUCGUAGGUGGUUUGUCGCGUCGCCUGUGAAAUUCCGGGGCUUAACUCCGGGCGUGCAGGCGAUACGGGCAUAACUUGAGUACUGUAGGGGAGACUGGAAUUCCUGGUGUAGCGGUGAAAUGCGCAGAUAUCAGGAGGAACACCGGUGGCGAAGGCGGGUCUCUGGGCAGUAACUGACGCUGAGGAGCGAAAGCAUGGGUAGCGAACAGGAUUAGAUACCCUGGUAGUCCAUGCCGUAAACGGUGGGCGCUAGGUGUAGGGGUCUUCCACGACUUCUGUGCCGUAGCUAACGCAUUAAGCGCCCCGCCUGGGGAGUACGGCCGCAAGGCUAAAACUCAAAGGAAUUGACGGGG